Molecule: ribosomal RNA, 402 nt
Filed under: uncultured bacterium
Lineage: Bacteria
Description: bacterial SSU rRNA
Rfam family: Bacterial small subunit ribosomal RNA
Source: RNAcentral
GGGCCCGCACAAGCGGUGGAGCAUGUGGUUUAAUUCGAUGAUACGCGAGGAACCUUACCAGGGCUUAAAUGCAGUUGGACAGGUCUGGAAACAGACCCUUCUUCGGACUAAUUGCAAGGUGCUGCAUGGUUGUCGUCAGCUCGUGUCGUGAGAUGUUGGGUUAAGUCCCGCAACGAGCGCAACCCUUAUCCUUAGUUGCCAGCACGUUUGGGUGGGCACUCUAAGGAAACUGCCGGUGCUAAGCCGGAGGAAGGCGGGGAUGACGUCAAGUCCUCAUGGCCCUUACACGCGGGGCUACACACGUGCUACAAUGGCAGUGACAAUGGGAUAAUCCCAAAAGCUGUCUCAGUUCAGAUUGUCCUCUGCAACUCGAGGGCAUGAAGUUGGAAUCGCUAGUAAUCG